AAUUUCAGAUUAAACAUAAAAACUACAUUAAAUUUAUAUGUUUGAUCUUAUAGUUUAUAGUGCUGAAGAUAGUUUGCCCUGAAAGUGCUUCACUAAAUAAACAGUAGUGCGCAUAAUUACUGCUGAAAUGUGCUUGAGUUUAAAAUAUCAAAAAUAAUAAUAAAAUAUUAAAUCUUUAAAUAACUAUAGAGAUUGUAGAAUAAUAUAGAGUGUUUCUUGAAUAAGAACUUUAAGUAUUAGAGCAAUAUUCAGCAACUGUUACCGAGGCAGGCAUCAUACAGUUGGGACAGUGUUACUAUGAUUGUCAUUAAUUACAUUAAAAUAUCUCAAUCUAUUUGAUAUUACCAGGGAUUUCAAAAUGAAUCCUUCCUUUAGAUAGUUGCAGUUUUUAAUAGUCCUAGCAUUUUUCUAAUCUGUUUUCAUAUUAAACUCAUAAUCUUUGUGGAGAGCAUAGUUGCAUUAUUAUCUAAACAUAUGUCUUUUUUAUGCCCAGUGAUACGAUCAUCUAAGUUUUCUGCUUGUCACAUCAAUAUACUCCUCUUAGCAAUCAAAAUCAUAGUUAUAUAUUGGGAUAUAAUAGGUCCCCAAUUUUUUCCUUUAAUUCAUACCUCUGCUUAUCAUCUGUCUAUUCUAAAGAGUUGGAUAUCUUGUUGCAAUUUUGUCAUUAAUCUUCUUUGCUAUGUUUCUUAUAAUGUUGAGGUUUGAGAUAUCAUGUGGAAAUUUGAUAGACUGCAUGUGUUCCUCAGAUGGGUACAUCUGAUGUUUUUAACUUGUUUACAUAGGAUCAGAGUUAAUCUUUCUUUUAACUUCAUCAUAAAUCUUUUUCAUAAAUUAUAGGUAUACCCAUGCUAUUUUUUUUUUGCAAUAAUAUUUCUAAAUUCAGCAUGUAGCUAGGAUUAAUCAAACAGUGAUUAAAUAUCCUACAAAAAACAGAACAGAAAAUAGCUUUUUUUUAAACUUCAUAGUAUCAUAAAAUCAAGUUAGUAUUAAAACAGAUUUGUAUAUUGCCUUUCUAAAGAAAGGCAACAUACAAACCUGUAUCAGAAUGAUUGCCUAUAUGUCAGUGGUGGCCAACUUUCGUGUCAUUACGAGCCAUAUAGGAAAUUUCAAAUAGUUGAGAGCCUCUUUCUGGGUCAGUGAGGCUCACAUCAAUUUUUUCGGGUAAUCUUAAUAGUGGUUUCAAAAAUUGUUUAUUAUAUAUUUUACAUGCAUUUAUUUCCUAUAUAGAUGCAUACUACUUUUU
Molecule: long non-coding RNA, 1243 nt
Filed under: Androctonus crassicauda
Lineage: Eukaryota; Metazoa; Arthropoda; Arachnida; Scorpiones; Buthidae
Source: RNAcentral